CGGCGGACGGGUGAGUAACACGUGGAUAACCUACCUAUAAGACUGGGAUAACUUCGGGAAACCGGAGCUAAUACCGGAUAAUAUUUUGAACCGCAUGGUUCAAAAGUGAAAGACGGUCUUGCUGUCACUUAUAGAUGGAUCCGCGCUGCAUUAGCUAGUUGGUAAGGUAACGGCUUACCAAGGCAACGAUGCAUAGCCGACCUGAGAGGGUGAUCGGCCACACUGGAACUGAGACACGGUCCAGACUCCUACGGGAGGCAGCU
RNAcentral lists this ribosomal RNA (263 nucleotides) under uncultured Staphylococcus sp. RNAcentral describes it as "partial 16S ribosomal RNA". It matches the Rfam family "Bacterial small subunit ribosomal RNA", at positions 96 to 352 of the family's 1533-position model. Lineage: Bacteria; Bacillati; Bacillota; Bacilli; Caryophanales; Staphylococcaceae. The record is from RNAcentral.